GAAAAGCCAGAGACAAGUGACCGGAAGAGAUCGUGCUGUUGGAAUGGUUGCCUGAAAGAGAUCAGUGUGGUGCCUCAAAUGUUCUCUAGAAAGAAAUGUGGUUCCUGAAUAAGAACAGUGCUGGCUAAGUGAGAGCUGAAAGUAAGAAUGGUACUGCCUAUUUUGAUCGUCAGAAUGGGCCGACUAAUAAAAUCACCAAAGUUAUAUUUACUUUGGAUUGUAUAAAUUUCCUAGAAGCCUAAUACGCGCUAUACUUAGCAGGAGAGAAGACGAAGGAAAUUCUUGUUGGUGCUGGUUGAUAAUAUCGAGAGGGCUGCUUGUAUA
RNAcentral lists this long non-coding RNA (324 nucleotides) under Capsicum annuum. RNAcentral's name for it is "long non-coding RNA (CANN_LNC020878)". The record is from RNAcentral. Lineage: Eukaryota; Viridiplantae; Streptophyta; Magnoliopsida; Solanales; Solanaceae.